RNAcentral lists this ribosomal RNA (460 nucleotides) under uncultured bacterium. Its description in RNAcentral is "partial 16S ribosomal RNA". It matches the Rfam family "Bacterial small subunit ribosomal RNA", at positions 338 to 795 of the family's 1533-position model. The record is from RNAcentral.
CCUACGGGAGGCAGCAGUGAGGAAUAUUGGUCAAUGGACGAGAGUCUGAACCAGCCAAGUAGCGUGAAGGAUGACUGCCCUACGGGUUGUAAACUUCUUUUAUAUGGGAAUAAAAUGUUCCACGUGUGGCUUUUUGUAUGUAUCUUAUGAAUAAGGAUCGGCUAACUCCGUGCCAGCAGCCGCGGUAAUACGGAGGAUCCGAGCGUUAUCCGGAUUUAUUGGGUUUAAAGGGAGCGUAGGUGGAUUGUUAAGUCAGUUGUGAAAGUUUGCGGCUCAACCGUAAAAUUGCAGUUGAAACUGGCAGUCUUGAGUACAGUAGAGGUAGGCGGAAUUCGUGGUGUAGCGGUGAAAUGCUUAGAUAUCACGAAGAACUCCGAUUGCGAAGGCAGCUCACUAGACUGCAACUGACACUGAGGCUCGAAAGUGUGGGUAUCAAACAGGAUUAGAUACCCUUGUAGUC